AAGUCGAACGAGAGAUGAGGAGCUUGCUCUUCAAAUCGAGUGGCGAACGGGUGAGUAACGCGUGAGGAACCUGCCUCAAAGAGGGGGACAACAGACGGAAACGACUGCUAAUACCGCAUAGUAUCGAAAGAUUAAAGCAGCAAUGCGCUUGGGGAUGGGCUCGCGGCCUAUUAGUUAGUUGGUGAGGUAACGGCUCACCAAGGCGAUGACGGGUAGCCGGUCUGAGAGGAUGUCCGGCCACACUGGAACUGAGACACGGUCCAGACACC
RNAcentral lists this ribosomal RNA (269 nucleotides) under uncultured Akkermansia sp. Its description in RNAcentral is "partial 16S ribosomal RNA". It matches the Rfam family "Bacterial small subunit ribosomal RNA", at positions 59 to 339 of the family's 1533-position model. Lineage: Bacteria; Pseudomonadati; Verrucomicrobiota; Verrucomicrobiia; Verrucomicrobiales; Akkermansiaceae. The record is from RNAcentral.